ACAGGUGGCCAUCUCAUCACAGAAUAUGAGCAAGAUUAGUCAAGUGUAUCCUAGAAAACAGCUUCCCUCAUGGGAAAAAAGUGAGAGAAAGAGAAUUGGUGACUAUUCAACUAUACAUCGAAACACAAUAUUGCAAGCUGGACUUAGGGAGAAUUUGACGAAAAGAUAGUCAGAAAUGAUCUGUCUGAAGUUUUGAGAUACUGUGGGUACUCAGUACUUCCCAUUGGAAUUCACUAUGUCCUCCAGCUGGCCUGUUCAGACUAUGCCAGUUUUUAGGAGAAAGCUGUCCUUCAGCUCUUUGGGCUUUAUUCAGUCAUUGGCUCUGUUUCAACAAUACAUCAAAUGGAUUGUGCAGUGUGAGCACGGAAGAUGAAUUUAUUAAGAUUGUGCACUACAUUGUUCAUUCUGCAUAUCCCCAUUUGUUCCUUGUCUUUGGAACAUAGUAGUGCCUUAGAGGACUCUGCUAGUUAACAAUAGGUCAAACUGUGAAUUUGAGAACUUUUGCAAACAAAAAAAAGGGGAAAGUAAAAAAAAAAUCCUAAAAUUAAGGGACAUUGCAGACAAUCUAGCAACAUGACUAUUUGUGACACAUGGCAAUAGUCUGAGGAAAACUGAAGCACCUACAAAGCUGGAAAAUGUGUUGCAGCCAGCCAGCACUGAGCUGCCCUGGAUGGCAGAAGAAGACACAAAUGGAUUAGUUUACAGUCAGGUCUGGGAAGCAGGGCACAAAAACAGAGCUGUAGAGCCUUGGGAAUUGUGCCCAACUCUGCCACAGUCUUACUGGGCAACCUGAAUAGCUAUUUUGUAAUUUUUAUUUGUUUCCAACACUCAGUUUUGACUAUUCCUGUGCUGAUGUUAUAAGAUGGAUGUCGAUGGGAAAUCAGAGUUUGGACUGUAAAUCUC
Non-coding RNA from Zonotrichia albicollis (white-throated sparrow), 903 nucleotides. Lineage: Eukaryota; Metazoa; Chordata; Aves; Passeriformes; Passerellidae. The record is from RefSeq and is a predicted model, not a curated record.